Molecule: ribosomal RNA, 376 nt
Filed under: uncultured bacterium
Lineage: Bacteria
Description: bacterial SSU rRNA
Rfam family: Bacterial small subunit ribosomal RNA
Source: RNAcentral
UAAGACGAACCGAGCAAACGUUAUUCGGAAUCACUGGGCUUAAAGGGCGCGUAGGCGGUCUCGUAAGUCUGCGGUGAAAUCCUCCAGCUCAACUGGAGAACGGCCGUGGAUACUGCGAGUCUCGAGGGAGGUAGGGGCGUGCGGAACAGAUGGUGGAGCGGUGAAAUGCGUUGAUAUCAUCUGGAACUCCGGUGGCGAAGGCGGCACGCUGGACCUCUUCUGACGCUGAGGCGCGAAAGCCAGGGGAGCAAACGGGAUUAGAUACCCCGGUAGUCCUGGCCCUAAACGUUGGGUACUAGAUAGUAGCCUUCACAUGGGGUUACUGUCGGAGCAAAAGUGCUAAGUACCCCGCCUGGGGAGUAUGGUCGCAAGGCUG